Frieseomelitta varia is the source of this 1080-nucleotide long non-coding RNA. RefSeq lists it as uncharacterized. The record is from RefSeq and is a predicted model, not a curated record. NCBI's taxonomy places the organism in Eukaryota, Metazoa, Arthropoda, Insecta, Hymenoptera, Apidae. The transcript has 6 exons.
AGUGCUUGGUAAAUCUCUAGCCCGCCCCCUUUUCAAAGCAACCCUCUGGAACCAGUGUCGUUCACCAUUCUCGAACGCUUGCGUAAUGGUCUCUGUUCCCAUUGGAGACCCUCACCCUUAACCAGGUUGAGUGAAACACGAUCGUUGGACAGGUGGUUGCGAAGGGGUGGAGCUUACAAACAACCCUCAUGGUUUGCCUUGUUUCGCAGGGAUUGAGAGUUGAACAGUAUCGGAAUUAUCGACCGUUAAAGAUGGACCAACUAUUUAUGCAAAAGGUUCGUUUGUAUUUGACACCCUGCAAAUAUAAUGAAACGAAUAUGUAAGAAUUGAUUAUCAUUCGAAUGUUCUUGAAUUGAAAAUCAGUCAUCUGCUGGAUGAAUGGAUUAUUUUUACAAUGAACUUUUUAUCUAUAUUACAAUGAACUCAUCGGCCACGUUCUGUUGUAGAGUCACACUAUGGCACGUGUGCUAAAUGAAGUGCAAUCACCUGGCAAAAUUCUAUUAUCAACGUAUUAAAUGUAGCCAAUGAACAGUAUAAAAAUACUUCACUUCUCAUCAGAUAUUUGUAUCCAUUAACCGUGUCGGUGGAUCUUUAAUUCGAGUCUGGUAAUAUGCACUAUAUCCAUAACUGCAAGCUGACGCUUUGGAUCGAUGCUCUGAGCGUCGGCGCUGAAAUGCUUCAUGGCUAAAUUUCGAAGCUUUUCUAGAAUGAAGGAUAUUCGAUAUAAUGCCAAAUCGACGAGCAAUUCUUCUCACCGUUGAACCAACGCCGAGAUAAAAUCAGUUAGAAACAAUUUAAGUAUUAUCGAUUUAAACAAGAAUGCAUUCUUCCUGGUCACAUGGAGUUUCGAAAAUUCACGGUUCUGUCUUAACAUAGUACGGUAAGAAAACCCAUUAAAUUCUGAUAAAAGUUUGCUAGUGAAUUUACUACCAACUUGUAGGAAUUUAGUUUUUUAGCGUUUGCAUCGUGAAAUUUUCAAACGUGGAAUGAGACGAGUAAUCCCCUUCUAAUUCGAUGUAUACGAUGGAACAAUUUGUUAUUGCAACUGUAAGUAAUUAUAAAUAAUACGGUAUGGUGUCG